RNAcentral lists this small RNA (143 nucleotides) under [Clostridium] ultunense Esp. Lineage: Bacteria; Bacillati; Bacillota; Tissierellia; Tissierellales; Tepidimicrobiaceae. The record is from RNAcentral.
UAUAAAUUAAUUAUCAUUAUAAAACAAAAAACUAACAUAGUCUUAUUAUGUUAGUACAGACUGAAGACAAAGUAUAAAUUUUUUAUAAAAAAGCAGAAAAUCUUUGAAAGCAAAAAGGAUUUUCUGCUUUUUUGUAGAAUAUA